This 467-nucleotide ribosomal RNA is filed under the name uncultured bacterium. RNAcentral's name for it is "partial 16S ribosomal RNA". It matches the Rfam family "Bacterial small subunit ribosomal RNA", at positions 28 to 507 of the family's 1533-position model. The record is from RNAcentral.
GACGAACGCUGGCGGCGUGCUUAACACAUGCAAGUCGAACGGAAAGGCUCCAGCUUGCUGGAGUACUCGAGUGGCGAACGGGUGAGUAACACGUGGGUAAUCUGCCCUGCACUCUGGGAUAAGCCUGGGAAACUGGGUCUAAUACUGGAUAUGACCUUUCUCCUUAUGGGGUUUGGUGGAAAGUUUUUCGGUGUAGGAUGAGCCCGCGGCCUAUCAGCUUGUUGGUGGGGUGAUGGCCUACCAAGGCGACGACGGGUAGCCGGCCUGAGAGGGUGAUCGGCCACAUUUGGACUGAGAUACGGCCCAGACUCCUACGGGAGGCAGCAGUGGGGAAUAUUGCACAAUGGGCGGAAGCCUGAUGCAGCGACGCCGCGUGAGGGAUGACGGCCUUCGGGUUGUAAACCUCUUUCAGCAGGGACGAAGCGUAAGUGACGGUACCUGCAGAAGAAGCACCGGCUAACUAUGUG